GACGAAGGAGUCUAACACGUGCGCAAGUUGGUGGGCUUUUUGUUGAAACCCACGGGCGAAAGUGAAAGCGAAGAGGUUUUGAGAAAGUCCCUGGUGGCGGACUCUUGCCUUUAUGGAGGAUCCACGCAAGAUCUUUUUCUUGUUGGCGCACUCCAGGGGCGUUCUUUCUUGCACCUGUAUCUCUGCUCCCCAAGGUUUUUCGGGUUGGAUUGGCGCUUUCGGGUGUUUUUUCAAUUUCGGGCGAUUGCGGGGUUUAAAGCAUGUACGAUGCUGUUGGAAGGGCGCACCAAGAGCGUACGCGUUGGGACCCGAAAGAUGGUGAACUAUGCCUGGCCAGGAUGAAGCCAGAGGAAACUCUGGUGGAGGUCCGUAGCGAUUCUGACGUGCAAAUCGAUCGUCUGAGCUGGGUAUAGGGGCGAAAGACUAAUCGAACCAUCUAGUAGCUGGUUCCCUCCGAAGUUUCCCUCAGGAUAGCUGGAGCUCUAAUUGUGUUGUGAACGAGUCUCAUCCGGUAAAGCGAAUGAUUAGAGGCCUUGGGGUUGAAAUGACCUCAACCUAUUCUCAAACUUUAAAUGGGUGAGAAACCAGACUUUCUUGACUGAAGCUCUGGUCUCCGAUCCAUGUGCAGCCCAGUGGGCCACUCUUGGUAAGCAGGACUGGCGAUGUGGGAUGAACCAAACGUCGGGUUACGGCGCCAAAGUCGAUGCCGAUUCAGAAACCAGGAAAGGCGUUGG
RNAcentral lists this ribosomal RNA (734 nucleotides) under Euphilomedes sordida. RNAcentral's name for it is "eukaryotic LSU rRNA". It matches the Rfam family "Eukaryotic large subunit ribosomal RNA", at positions 664 to 1227 of the family's 3401-position model. Lineage: Eukaryota; Metazoa; Arthropoda; Ostracoda; Myodocopida; Philomedidae. The record is from RNAcentral.